UAAGGAAUCUUCCACAAUGGGCGAAAGCCUGAUGGAGCAAUGCCGCGUGCAGGAUGACGGCCUUCGGGUUGUAAACUGCUUUUAUAUGGGAAGAUUAUGACGGUACCAUAUGAAUAAGGACCGGCUAACUACGUGCCAGCAGCCGCGGUAAUACGUAGGGUCCAAGCGUUAUCCGGAAUCACUGGGCGUAAAGAGUUUGUAGGCGGGAAUCUAAGUGAGAUGCGAAAUCUUGUGGCUCAACCACAUAGACGGUAUCUCAUACUGGGUUCCUAGAAGAUAGCAGAGGCAAGUGGAAUUAGUAGUGUAGCGGUAAAAUGCGUAGAUAUUACUAGGAACACCAAUGGCGAAGGCAGCUUGCUGGGCUAUUCUUGACGCUGAGAAACGAAAGCGUGGGGAGCGAACAGG
Molecule: ribosomal RNA, 405 nt
Filed under: uncultured bacterium
Lineage: Bacteria
Description: bacterial SSU rRNA
Rfam family: Bacterial small subunit ribosomal RNA
Source: RNAcentral